This is a long non-coding RNA of Tripterygium wilfordii, 321 nucleotides long. RefSeq lists it as uncharacterized. The transcript is spliced from 2 exons. The record is from RefSeq and is a predicted model, not a curated record. NCBI's taxonomy places the organism in Eukaryota, Viridiplantae, Streptophyta, Magnoliopsida, Celastrales, Celastraceae.
UUCUAUGUGCUUUAAAAAUCAAGUUAAAUAUUAUGAUGAUUCCUGAUAAUCUAAUUACUCAUUGUUUUCUUUGGAAAACAAAAGUAAGGAUUUAGCACGAGGAUUGCUUGGAGGUUUGGGCGAGGGAUUAGUUAGGCAGGUAAUCGACUAUAUAGGUUUAAUUUUCUUUUUUUAAGCUUCACUUUAUGAAUAUUGAAAUUGAUUUGUGAUUUUAUUGGUUAUUUGUUGGGAUUUGUCUGUGGAUGCUAGAUGUUUUAUUUACUCAUGAGUGGAUGGUUAAAUAUGAAAUAUUUCCGAAAAUUAUUGCAGAUUGAUUGAGUA